Molecule: long non-coding RNA, 1534 nt
Filed under: Gallus gallus (chicken)
Lineage: Eukaryota; Metazoa; Chordata; Aves; Galliformes; Phasianidae
Description: lncRNA (ENSGALG00010017370.1)
Source: RNAcentral
GUCUCUUUCAGGAGACUGCUCCUCUGGGAGUUUUCUUUUCUGCAAGCCUACAACGCAGAAAGUGAAGGAGCUCUUCCAGUACAUCGGAAAGACCAGAAAAGCAAUUCUGUAUGUUUUUGCCUCCUAAUUUUGAUACAAACUGGGAGUAACUGCACUUAUUUCAGGCUCACACAGCAUCAUAUCCUCCUUCUGUUUGGUUAUUAGACAUAAACUUGUCUGUUUUUAUCAAUUUAGUAAUACAUCCUCAUACGUGACACUAAGACUUGUCUGAAUCGCUGGUUUUGAAUCCUUCUUUCAUGUUUAAAAUAUUACCAUUUUGCUACAUUUAUUCAUCUGGGUUUAAGUUUUGGUUACUUCAACUUUUUAUGUUCAUUUUAACUUAGAGAAAAUCAAUUGAUAAAACAUUGCAUUUGUUUACACAUUUUCAAAUUAAUAUGUUAUGUAAAGUAAUAAUGUCAGAUUGAAUCCUGUAAUAUUUAGAUAUGAAAAUGGCCCCGAUUUUUUUUUUUUUUUUGCAUGCUUUACCUCACCAAAACUACUGAUGUAAACAAAAGGCAUCAAGUAUGAAUUUUGAAUUAGAAAACUGAACCUUCAACAACUGAGUCUGGUUGGUACUAACAUGCUGCGUCAAACCUCAUUAAAACCGCCAAUAGAGGACUAUCCUGCAUAUAAGUAUAAUGCCAUAACCCACUACUGCAGAGACAAAGAAGGCUCCAGUUCAUGGCGACCCAAGGGACAAGAUGUGCAGCUGGUCAGACAAGUACAUGAAUGAAAUUUUUACUAAAUUAGUUGUUUAGUAUUUUUAUCAUUGCCUCUCUCUGCCUGCUGUUUCUCUGCUUGUCAAAUCUGCUCUUUGCAUUCCGACCUGCAGGCAUGAAAUGGGUAGUUCUCUCCCAGAUACUUGCCAGUAAAUCCUCAGUAGUAACACAAAACAGAGCCUGAAUGGGGAGACACCACGAGGGCUCUUUCACAAACAGAACAGUGAGCCAGGCCACACUUCUGCUGGCUCAACAGACAGCUGAAUGGGCUUUGUUUGCUGCUAGAUGGAGGUGACUAAUGAUGUAAAGAGAACUUACUUUGCUAUGAGAGACCUCCAAAUGCAUUUAGCUGAAUGAUGCCUAGCAGGAAAGGCAGAAAAUGUCGGAUCAGUUUAAAAAAAAGGAGUGUACUUUCACACUCAGUACAUUGGUAUAUGUAUGCAUUUAUAUUUUGUCUUUUGUAUUUUGUUUUUGUCUUCCUUUCUUAUUUUUAUUUUUGUUUUGUAACUGGGCUUAGAUAUCUUUCUUAGGCAAUGUCUUCUUAAUGCAAAUUUAGUGACAGAUAUAGGUGUGUGCAGAUGUUCUGUUUGAGGACAAAACAGAAAGUUUUCUACUAAAUUAGGCCUGAUUUGGCUUGGCAGAAAGAUCCAGAGCAAAUUACAGAGACCACAAGGUAUCAGUGACUGCAUGGAUUCUUCUGAACUGUGUAAGACUGGCAAUUCCAAAUCUGUGAAUCAAAACAAAAAUAAAAGGAGGUUUCCUGUGGUGAUUAGACU